GGUGGGGUCACCUAAGUGGCUGUGGGAUCUGUGCCUGUCUCCAAAGCUGCAGAGAGUCACGACUUAAGCCACCUGUCUGUGCCUUCGCAGGAAAGCACACCUUAAUGUCCCCAACAAGCCAGCCUCCGGGAGAAAGAGCAGCCACUCCACUAGCUCAGACCUUCCUCCUCACACCCGGAAUGCUUCCUACCCACCAAACCUCCUGCCUUCUUCUGUUUGCUGUUUCCCUGCCUUAUCUCUAGUUUGUAUGCUGGUUGCCCUUUUUGUGACUGCAUCGCUUAAGUGUUACAACGUCCUCGUCUUCUUGCAGAAUCUCUCCUGAAAGAGACAAGAAAACAAGCAGACAAUGAAAAGAAAAAGACAGCAGAUAAGAAAGGCAUUCCAGGCAUUAACAACACCAUGUUCUGCACAAUUCUGUUUCAUCUUCCUGCACUCAACGCUGUCUGUCACAGCAAGGAGCUCAAGAAAGACACGCUUUUAAAAUUAGAGGUACAGCAUGGUUUCUGCAAGGCAGGGCUAAAUCCCACAAGUGUGAUCAACCUAGUGUGAAGAAGAACAAAGUGGGUCAUUGCCAGGGAGAAACACAGAAGCAGCUCCUGGUGGAACAAGGCUUGGGAGAAAUUGCGUCAGAAGCAGCACCCCUGAUUUGCCCCUGAAAAUAAUGACUCAAAGUACUGACGUUCAUGCAUGCUGUGUUAAUCCAGAGUCAUGUCCACGUGUGCUGCUAAUUUAGAGUUGUGAUCCCUCAUCUGAGUAUGUGCUUAAAGACCAGACUGUACCUCAGAAAUCAGGCCUCAGUGAACUGAGCUAUUGGGUGAGUCAUUCAUGAAAGCUAAACAGAGACUUUAAUGUGGAGCUGUUCAAUCAAAUGUACUCUGUCUUCUUCUGGACGUGCAGGUGGUGAUUACAUUUAUCCCAAAAGCUCCUGUAGUCACUCGUGGGACCCAAGAUGCUGUUUCACAAGAGCUAACUGUGCUGAGGCUGGAAAGCACAAAAAUGGUGAUUCUACAAUGCCGUGUGGGCAGCUCUGAGAUGCAUGUGGCUUUUACAGAGAAGAAGGAGGAAUAGAAACAGGAAAUAUAGAUUGA
This is a long non-coding RNA of Passer domesticus (house sparrow), 1088 nucleotides long. RefSeq lists it as uncharacterized. The transcript has 3 exons. NCBI's taxonomy places the organism in Eukaryota, Metazoa, Chordata, Aves, Passeriformes, Passeridae. The record is from RefSeq and is a predicted model, not a curated record.